Molecule: long non-coding RNA, 2353 nt
Organism: Astatotilapia calliptera (eastern happy)
Lineage: Eukaryota; Metazoa; Chordata; Actinopteri; Cichliformes; Cichlidae
Source: Ensembl
GAUUUUUAUAGACCAAUUGUUCCAGUUUACAUUCAGCUUUCAGAUGUAGUGUUUGUUUUGUUGUUACUGGGGAAUAACCUAGAGGCAGGAUGAAAGUCCAAAUAAAUGUUAGGACGAUGAAAGGGAGGAGAAGAAGAACUAUAAACAGCUUUUGUACGACAAUGCAGUCUCUCAUUAAGCCUUUCAUCCUAAAGAAAAGAAAUGUUUUCAAGGGAUUUGUUUUCCAUAUUUAUGCCAUAAACUGACACAAAAAUGCAGAGCUAAGCGUGCUCGCUCACACCUCUUACACUGAUACUGCUCUGCUGUCCAAGUCCCACAAAUGACUGACCAAGUGUGAUUGUAAGACGGGCAAAUUUUAGUUUGUUUCCCCAAAUCUCAUUUAACUGGAUAAAUGUAUGCAGUAAGAUCAAUAUAAAUCUGAUAACAGUGAGCUAUUUGCCAAACAUUUUAAACUUAUUUAUAUACAUAUUUUCCCCCCUAUUGUGUGCUUGAAGUUGCUGUGACGGAUAUUUUUGUAAAAAGCAGUUUGAAGAUGUGAAAACAGAAAUGUUUAUAGGUGAAAAAUCACCUGAAUCUGCAGCCGUACUCGACUUAUAAAGUCUUGUGUUUAACCAAUGUUGUUGACUUUGGCCCAGUCUCACUGCCUGCACCAACGUUACCAACUAACUUAAUGCAAAGAUGGGUGACAAAUUAAAGACGAGACCCACACAAAGGGUGAUGGGACCAGUAGACUCAAAACCAGUAGGUCCUGGGUUUGAGUCCAUCAUCUGGCUGGGUUUACAUGUUCUCCCAGAGUACUCGUGUUUCUUCCCACAGUCCGAGCUGAGUCUUUUGUCCACAUACAAAAGGCGUGUCAGCUCCCUGAAAACAGGUUUUAAAAAACCUUCCGGGUAAAUUUUCAUGACUUCAUGUGGAAAACUUUUUUUUUCUUGCAAAUUCAAAGGUGUUGCACCCUUAUCACCUGUUUUUUUUUUUGUUUUUUUUUUUUGUGCUCCAUGUUAUUAUUUGCUCAGGAUGGUUAUUAGCCAACAUUUCCAUACGUUUGUGGUUGUAUUUCCACCUGUGGGGAUGUUGUUAGCAGAUUAUACAACAAUCUUUUAAAGGGUAUGCACUUAAUUUCUGCUCAAGGUCAGCGUGUCAUUUCACGCUCAUCUGUGAGCUACUGUGGCAUGAUGUUUUUAAACGAUGCUCGUGUGGAUGGGAUUUAAAACAAAAAAACGGAAAGUUCCUGGUUUAAAAAAGUAUCCGAGUACCUCUGGACAUAGCAAUAGCGCACAUCUGUGAAAACACUUGUUUCUGCACUUUAUUUAGGUUUUUUUCCUUUAAUUUGUCACUUGUAGCAGCUAACAGGUAAAAGAAAGCAUGUCAUGGGUUUAUAUUUGCAAGGUGGUUCUAAAUCCAGCUGAGAAUGUGCUUGAUGAUUAAAAGUUAUUUGGUAAUGAGUUUAAAUUAAAAUGAUCUUUUUUACUUUUUUGUCCUUUUUUUGGUCAAACCUAUGAGCUGUAGCAGGUUUCAGCCACACUGUCUUGUACUCUAUAUGAAAUUAUUCAAACAGAAAUGCUUAAUAAAGCAGAAACUAUUUGGUAAGAUUGAAUUAUUAGCCAUUUGUCUCAUUGCAACAAAGCAAAUGUUGAUGUUGUUUUAAAGAUUUCUUUAUUUUCUUGUUAUUUAUUUUAAGUUUUAUUAAACCAAGAAAACCUUACUGAAAAGUUCUCAAACAUGGCCCUGUGUAUCCGAGAGGAGAGUUUACAGCCUCUGGAGGUUACUAACGUUUGAAAUGAUGUCAUGAUUUGUCCUCUACGCAGGUCCACGGUCGACGGUAGCUUCAUCUUUCCUUUGCCUUAAUCGCUAAAGCUUUGAAUGUACCAUCCCGUGCAUUCCUCCUCUACAUGUACCAUUUUAAGCCUUUUUUACUUUCCUCUUGUUGCAGAUAUCAUUUCACUAAUUUUUCAAAAUGUUAGUGUAGCUGUGAAGCCUUUCGUUUGUUUGUUUAAUCUUUGUAACUGUUGUGAGAUCAAAAUCCAGCUGUUGGGUUGGUUUCACGAACACUGCCUGACUUAUUUUGGACGACCUUGUAUAAAGCUGUGUGACAUGUACGCCGUUCAUACUGAUUCUGUUUGGGUCAAAUAAGAAUUUAAGUUUCUAAAUGCUGGAUUGUGCUUUUCGUGAACGAAGGAGGUUAAAAAAAAAAAGGAAAAAAGACACAUCCCAGUAAUAUUUGACCUGCCUUUGUGAAGUCGAAUCAUUUCAAGUGGAAAUUUGCAUUUUGUGUGUGUGUGUGUUUUAAACAAGAAGCCAAUAAUUUGUGAGAUUAUGGUCGAGUUUAAAAUAAAAAUGUUGAUCUUGCCGUUUU